Molecule: ribosomal RNA, 429 nt
Filed under: Bacteroidota bacterium
Lineage: Bacteria; Pseudomonadati; Bacteroidota
Description: Bacteroidetes bacterium partial 16S ribosomal RNA
Rfam family: Bacterial small subunit ribosomal RNA
Source: RNAcentral
UAGGGAAUCUUCGGCAAUGGGGGGAACCCUGACCGAGCAACGCCGCGUGAGUGAAGAAGGUUUUCGGAUCGUAAAGCUCUGUUGUUAAGGAAGAACGAGUGUGAGAAUGGAAAGUUCAUACUGUGACGGUACUUAACCAGAAAGGGACGGCUAACUACGUGCCAGCAGCCGCGGUAAUACGUAGGUCCCGAGCGUUGUCCGGAUUUAUUGGGCGUAAAGCGAGCGCAGGCGGUUAGAAAAGUCUGAAGUGAAAGGCAGUGGCUCAACCAUUGUAGGCUUUGGAAACUGUUUAACUUGAGUGCAGAAGGGGAGAGUGGAAUUCCAUGUGUAGCGGUGAAAUGCGUAGAUAUAUGGAGGAACACCGGUGGCGAAGGCGACUCUCUGGUCUGUAACUGACGCUGAGGCUCGAAAGCGUGGGUAGCAAACAGG